Molecule: non-coding RNA, 29 nt
Filed under: Favella ehrenbergii
Lineage: Eukaryota; Ciliophora; Spirotrichea; Tintinnida; Xystonellidae
Source: RNAcentral
GGUUGGAAGAAUGACUACGUUCAGACCAU